CCUGAGUACGACGGAGCACGUGAAAUUCCGUCGGAAUCUGGGAGGACCAUCUCCUAAGGCUAAAUACUCUCUAGUGACCGAUAGUGAACCAGUACCGUGAGGGAAAGGUGAAAAGUACCCCGGAAGGGGAGUGAAAGAGAACUUGAAACCGUGUGCUUACAAGUAGUCAGAGCCCGUUAAUGGGUGAUGGCGUGCCUUUUGUAGAAUGAACCGGCGAGUUACGAUCUGAUGCAAGGUUAAGCAGAAAAUGUGGAGCCGUAGCGAAAGCGAGUCUGAAUAGGGCGAAUGAGUAUUUGGUCGUAGACCCGAAACCAGGUGAUCUACCCUUGGUCAGGUUGAAGUUCAGGUAACACUGAAUGGAGGACCGAACCGACUUACGUUGAAAAGUGAGCGGAUGAACUGAGGGUAGCGGAGAAAUUCCAAUCGAACUUGGAGAUAGCUGGUUCUCUCCGAAAUAGCUUUAGGGCUAGCCUCAAGUGAUGAUUAUUGGAGGUAGAGCACUGUUUGGACGAGGGGCCCCUCUCGGGUUACCGAAUUCAGACAAACUCCGAAUGCCAAAUAAUUUAACUUGGGAGUCAGAAUGUGGGUGAUAAGGUCCAUAUUCGAAAGGGAAACAGCCCAGACCACCAGCUAAGGUCCCAAAAUAUAUGUUAAGUGGAAAAGGAUGUGGCGUUGCCCAGACAACUAGGAUGUUGGCUUAGAAGCAGCCAUCAUUUAAAGAGUGCGUAAUAGCUCACUAGUCGAGUGACACUGCGCCGAAAAUGU
RNAcentral lists this ribosomal RNA (765 nucleotides) under Staphylococcus pseudintermedius. RNAcentral's name for it is "partial 23S ribosomal RNA". It matches the Rfam family "Bacterial large subunit ribosomal RNA", at positions 407 to 1173 of the family's 2925-position model. The record is from RNAcentral. Lineage: Bacteria; Bacillati; Bacillota; Bacilli; Caryophanales; Staphylococcaceae.